Molecule: transfer RNA, 62 nt
Filed under: Betaproteobacteria bacterium RIFCSPLOWO2_02_FULL_68_150
Lineage: Bacteria; Pseudomonadati; Pseudomonadota; Betaproteobacteria
Description: tRNA-Ala
Rfam family: tRNA
About the family: Transfer RNA (tRNA) molecules are approximately 80 nucleotides in length. Their secondary structure includes four short double-helical elements and three loops (D, anti-codon, and T loops).
Source: RNAcentral
UAUAGCUCAGCUGGGAGAGCGCUUGCAUGGCAUGCAAGAGGUCACCGGUUCGAUCCCGGUUA